GUGUCAGCAGCCGCGGUAAUACAGGGGGUGCUAGCGUUGUUCGGAAUUACUGGGCGUAAAGGGCGCGUAGGCGGUUUUACAAGUCAGGAGUGAAAUCCCGGGGCUUAACCUCGGAAUUGCUUUUGAAACUGUAAGGCUAGAGCGUAUUAGAGGAUGGCGGAAUUCCUAGUGUAGAGGUGAAAUUCGUAGAUAUUAGGAAGAACACCGGUGGCGAAGGCGGCCAUCUGGGAUACAACUGACGCUGAGGCGCGAAAGCGUGGGGAUCAAACAGGAUUAGAAACCCUUGUAGUCC
RNAcentral lists this ribosomal RNA (292 nucleotides) under uncultured bacterium. RNAcentral's name for it is "partial 16S ribosomal RNA". It matches the Rfam family "Bacterial small subunit ribosomal RNA", at positions 505 to 796 of the family's 1533-position model. The record is from RNAcentral.